This 414-nucleotide ribosomal RNA is filed under the name uncultured bacterium. RNAcentral describes it as "bacterial SSU rRNA". It matches the Rfam family "Bacterial small subunit ribosomal RNA", at positions 355 to 776 of the family's 1533-position model. The record is from RNAcentral.
UGGGGAAUAUUGCACAAUGGGCGCAAGCCUGAUGCAGCGACGCCGCGUGGGGGAUGACGGCCUUCGGGUUGUAAACCUCUUUCGUCAGGGAAGAAGCCUUUUUGGGGUGACGGUACCUGGAGAAGAAGCACCGGCUAACUACGUGCCAGCAGCCGCGGUAAUACGUAGGGUGCGAGCGUUGUCCGGAAUUAUUGGGCGUAAAGAGCUUGUAGGCGGUUUGUCGCGUCUGCGGUGAAAACCCGGGGCUUAACCUUGGGCGUGCCGUGGGUACGGGCAGGCUAGAGUGUGGUAGGGGAGACUGGAAUUCCUGGUGUAGCGGUGAAAUGCGCAGAUAUCAGGAGGAACACCGAUGGCGAAGGCAGGUCUCUGGGCCAUAACUGACGCUGAGAAGCGAAAGCAUGGGGAGCGAACAGG